Bos taurus (domestic cattle) is the source of this 745-nucleotide long non-coding RNA. Lineage: Eukaryota; Metazoa; Chordata; Mammalia; Artiodactyla; Bovidae. The record is from Ensembl.
GAUCUCUGGGAGAGCUGGUGGAGGAGCAGGGGCUGCUGCAGGAACUUCACCUGGCCCUGGAUCGGUCAGCAAGGCAGCCUCCAGUCCUGGUGGUGUGCUGGGCAGUGGGCAUGUCAUCGUCCAGUAUGGGGAGGCCCCCGUGGAGGAGAACAAUCCUAGCCUGCCCUCCGUGUGAAGUCUCCUCUCAACCAGAGGCCACGUUGAAGAGGACAGCACAGAUUCCACACGUUCAUCCUGCAGGCGUCCCAGAGAUUAAGAGCUCCGAAACCGUCCUCUUCAGCUUGAAUCAGUGAGAGCAACCCGCACAGUACUUGGUGUCUCCCCAAAGUGCCAUACUCCAUCCUGUCAUUACAUUUGUAUUGUCCAGGGACUUCCCUGGCAGUCCAGUGGUUAAGACUCUGCAUUUCCACUGCAGGGGGCCCAGGUUCAAUCCCUAGUCAGGGAACUAAGAUACCACAUCCUGCAAUGCUGCACAGAGCAGUCCAAAGAUUUUUAAAAUUUGUAUUGUCCUGGAAAUUGGCAGUUUCCCAUUUCAUAUUUGCUAAUGGGACUUGGACUGUGAAGCAAGUUGAGUGCCAAAGAAUUGAUGCUUUUGAACUGUGGUGUUGGAGAAGACUCUUGAGAGUCCCUUGGACUGCAAGGAGAUCCAACCAGUCCAUUCUAAAGGAGAUCAGUCCUGGGUGUUCUUUGGAAGGAAUGAUGCUAAAGCUGAAACUCCAAUACUUUGGCCACCUCAUGCGAAGAG